AUGCUUAGAGUCUUAGAUCUACAUGAUGCCAAUUUUGUAAUCGAACAAAAAGAUAUCUGCACCAUAGGGUCGUUACGUCAUUUGAAAUAUGUCCACGUUGGUGGAAGUGAAAAUUAUAUUUACAAGCUCCCAAGAACCAUAGGGAAACUACAAGGCUUGCAGACUUUGGACAUGAGGAAUAGUCAUGUCACAUCACUACCAACUGAGAUCACUAAACUACAAAGCCUCUGUAGUCUCCGUUGCAGUAAAGAUAGUACAGAUGGUAAUCUAUACUUGGUUUACCCUAUGAUCUGGUUAAUGUCCACAUUCCGUAUGCCUAUUAUGUUCACUCCUUUAGUUAGUCCAAAUGAGCGUCCAGGCAUUAUGAUGGGCAUUCACAUGGCCUGGACUGGUCGUUUGACAAACUCUGAAGGUGUGAGCGUGCCCAAAGGGAUCAGCAACCUAAAGAAGUUAGAGAUACUAGAGAUUGUGGAUAUUGAACGGACUAGUAGGAAAGCAGUUAAAGAGCUCGGGGAGCUUAUAAUGCUCAGAAAGUUAAGUGUCAGAGUAGGGGCAAGCAAGCAAAAGAGCAACAUACUCUGUACAUCCCUUGAGAAGCUCACUUCCCUCCGCUCUCUUUGUCUCCGUGCGGAUGUUAGUACAUCUGGGAGAAGCUGUGCAUCACUCAGGUGGCUGUUGCAUUCUAUUUCCUCACCUCCCCCUCUCCUGCGGAAGCUGGAUUUGGAAGGAGAUCUCAGGAAGUUACCUGGCUGGUUUGGGGGUCUGGUACAUUUGGUGAAGAUUCAGUUGAGUUGGAUCAAUCUGAAGGAUGGUGACAAAAGCAUGAAAUUACUAGGCGCACUGCCCAAGCUCAUGCUCCUUUCUCUUGGUCGGAAUUCUUUUGUUGGGGAGAAACUGGUUUUCAGGGCAGAAGCAUUCCCAAGUCUCAGGAGAAUUGACAUUUGGUGCCUGAUGCAACUGAAAGAGUUGACAUUUGAGGUGGGCACCUCUCCCCUGUUGGAAAAUAUAGAAAUCAUAGUCUGCAUGUUGGAAUCAGGGAUUAGUGGUAUCAAACACCUUCCAAGACUGAAGGAGAUCCAUCUGCUAGCUACUAGAGUUGCCAGGCUUUGUGUGCUGGAAGCUGAUGUCAAUGCACACCCCAGCCAUCCAAUGCUGCGACUUUCUGGGAACCGAAGCUUACUUGACCUGGAUCAGCACAUCGUCGAAGUAUCAGGUGUACAAGCAGAAGCAACGGGAGAGCCAUCCGUUCCGGGGCCUGCAGAGGGAGAGGGCUCACAAGAGGCGGCCAUGCCGACCACGAGCGACAGCGAAGAUGACCUGCGCUGA
Molecule: ribosomal RNA, 1326 nt
Filed under: Triticum aestivum (bread wheat)
Lineage: Eukaryota; Viridiplantae; Streptophyta; Magnoliopsida; Poales; Poaceae
Description: partial small subunit ribosomal RNA
Source: RNAcentral